This is a long non-coding RNA of Sinocyclocheilus anshuiensis, 999 nucleotides long. RefSeq lists it as uncharacterized. Lineage: Eukaryota; Metazoa; Chordata; Actinopteri; Cypriniformes; Cyprinidae. The record is from RefSeq and is a predicted model, not a curated record. The transcript has 3 exons.
AUAUGAUAUAACACAUCAAACAUGACUGUGUGAAUAAUUGAGCACUGUGAUUGGUUAACCGUUUUCGUCAAGCGGUGCUCGGCGCGCGCGGGCUUCACAAGCUAAAGCGAAAACCUUACUGAAAAUAUAUAUUUUUUUCCUUUCUCAAAUGGGGUAUUUAUUGUCCACAGUAAAGUUUGUUCAUAUCUAUAGCAUUGUAACUCACACCACACCAUCCAGCCAAGUCAAGACGAUCGAGAAGCUACGUUUGAGAAGUGCAGUAUGAUUGAUGAAUGACUACUGUACUCACUUGCAAUCAGGACACAGACAGAUGGAGCUGGAGGACAAAAAGUGAGCACAGUACGAACAGAUGACAUGGAGACACCUCCUUUUUUCUAGUUGCCACAACAUCAUCAGUAACCCAGGAAACCCAUUGAAACAAGAAGGACCCAGGAAAUGAAGUAAUGGUUCAGGAAUGUUGGGAGACAAGAGUUUCCCCCACAGCUGAAAUCCCCCUCUCCAGAGGAGAAUAGCAAACAGAGUAGCUCUGUCUGAAGCCACAUGAGGUCAACAGUCCUUGGACAACAACAAAACAUUACCCAUAACACAACAGAAUGCAUGAUCUAAUUACAACCUAUAUCUAUGUAAAAAUCUCUACUAACCUAAUAAUAUAUAAAACAGAGACAAACAGAAAGUUGUCUGAAUAUGUUCAUUUGGCAAAUGCAGUCAUAUAGGUUAACAGGACCAAAAAGCUGUUUGGCAAUAAGAACUUCAAUAGGCUGUGAUGGUAACCUGUUGGGCCUUCAGUGAAGUGUUAAAAUCAACAUAAUUGAUUAGAUUGAGAAAAGUGUCCAUUUCAUACCAAAGUGUAGCCCGACCUGAAUGUGAGUUUGCAGUCAAUCGUGAGGAACUAGUCCCUUGUUGAAACCAUUAACCACCGUUAAAUUACUGCAUUAUCUAUUGGCAAGAUUAAAACAAACCAAAACAAUAUUACUUAAAAUAAUUGCUCAAAACCAUUUU